UACGUACCCCAAAGUCAGGGAUAAUCCGUCGAAAGGCGGAAUAAUACUUGAUGGUCUCUUCGGAGUAAAGAUUUAUCGCUUUGGGAACGGCCUGCGGGCUAUCAGCUUGUUGGUAAGGUAACGGCUUACCAAGGCUACGACGGCUAGGGGAGGUGAGAGCCUGACCCCCACCGAUGGAACUGCGACACGGUCCAUACUCCUACGGGAGGCUGCAGUCGAGAAUCUUCCGCAAUGGACGAAAGUCUGACGGAGCGACGCCGCGUGGUG
Molecule: ribosomal RNA, 267 nt
Filed under: uncultured bacterium
Lineage: Bacteria
Description: partial 16S ribosomal RNA
Rfam family: Bacterial small subunit ribosomal RNA
Source: RNAcentral